UGGGAUUCCUCAUCAAGUAGGUUGCC
RNAcentral lists this non-coding RNA (26 nucleotides) under Rattus norvegicus (Norway rat). Lineage: Eukaryota; Metazoa; Chordata; Mammalia; Rodentia; Muridae. The record is from RNAcentral.